RNAcentral lists this ribosomal RNA (253 nucleotides) under uncultured bacterium. Its description in RNAcentral is "partial 16S ribosomal RNA". It matches the Rfam family "Bacterial small subunit ribosomal RNA", at positions 524 to 776 of the family's 1533-position model. The record is from RNAcentral.
UACGUAGGGGGCAAGCGUUAUCCGGAUUUACUGGGUGUAAAGGGAGCGUAGACGGCGAUGCAAGUCUGAAGUGAAAGGCGGGGGCCCAACCCCCGGACUGCUUUGGAAACUGUAUGGCUGGAGUGCAGGAGAGGUAAGUGGAAUUCCUAGUGUAGCGGUGAAAUGCGUAGAUAUUGGGAGGAACACCAGUGGCGAAGGCGGCUUACUGGACUGUAACUGACGUUGAGGCUCGAAAGCGUGGGGAGCAAACAGG